RNAcentral lists this ribosomal RNA (487 nucleotides) under uncultured organism. Its description in RNAcentral is "bacterial SSU rRNA". It matches the Rfam family "Bacterial small subunit ribosomal RNA", at positions 30 to 507 of the family's 1533-position model. The record is from RNAcentral.
AGCGAACGUUAGCGGCGGGCCUAACACAUGCAAGUCGAGCGAGAAAGGGACUUCGGUCCUGAGUAAAGCGGCGGACGGGUGAGGAACACGUAGGUAACCUGCCCCUCGAUGGAGGACAACGGUCCGAAAGGACCGCUAAUACUGCAUACGUUCCCCGGGAUUCCGAUCUCGGGGAGGAAAGCCUCGCAAGGGGCGUCGAGGGAGGGGCCUGCGUCGCAUCAGCUAGUUGGUGGGGUAAUGGCCUACCAAGGCGAAGACGCGUAGCUGGUCUGAGAGGAUGAUCAGCCACACUGGGACUGAGACACGGCCCAGACUCCUACGGGAGGCAGCAGUGGGGAAUAUUGGACAAUGGGCGCAAGCCUGAUCCAGCCACGCCGCGUGAGUGAUGAAGGCCUUCGGGUCGUAAAGCUCUGUGGGGAGGGACGAACGUCCGGGUGAAGAAUCCGGGGUGACGGUACCUCCUUAGCAAGCACCGGCUAACUUCGUG